This 459-nucleotide ribosomal RNA is filed under the name Acanthamoeba castellanii. RNAcentral describes it as "SSU rRNA". It matches the Rfam family "Eukaryotic small subunit ribosomal RNA", at positions 742 to 1095 of the family's 1831-position model. The record is from RNAcentral. Lineage: Eukaryota; Discosea; Longamoebia; Acanthamoebidae.
CCCAGAUCGUUUACCGUGAAAAAAUUAGAGUGUUCAAAGCAGGCAGAUCCAAUUUUCUGCCACCGAAUACAUUAGCAUGGGAUAAUGGAAUAGGACCCUGUCCUCCUAUUUUCAGUUGGUUUUGGCAGCGCGAGGACUAGGGUAAUGAUUAAUAGGGAUAGUUGGGGGCAUUAAUAUUUAAUUGUCAGAGGUGAAAUUCUUGGAUUUAUGAAAGAUUAACUUCUGCGAAAGCAUCUGCCAAGGAUGUUUUCAUUAAUCAAGAACGAAAGUUAGGGGAUCGAAGACGAUCAGAUACCGUCGUAGUCUUAACCAUAAACGAUGCCGACCAGCGAUUAGGAGACGUUGAAUACAAAACACCACCAUCGGUGCGGUCGUCCUUGGCGUUGGUCUUCAAAAGCCAGCGCGGGGGUGGCUUAGCCCGGUGGCACCGGUGAAUGACUCCCCUAGCAGCUUGUGAGA